Molecule: long non-coding RNA, 11313 nt
Organism: Hypanus sabinus (Atlantic stingray)
Lineage: Eukaryota; Metazoa; Chordata; Chondrichthyes; Myliobatiformes; Dasyatidae
Exons: 6
Source: RefSeq, a predicted model, not a curated record
AGAAUGGAGGAAGCUUGGCUGCAGAGAUCAAGGAACUAAAGAGAGCUCUACAACUGUGUGGACAGAUACCAUAUCUGUAUUCACCUUAGUGUAAAAAAAUGUGGCACUUCAGCGAUAUCAUAUGCUUGAAAUGCAGACCCUACAUUUUAUUAGUGAGACAUAGAAACAUAGAAAACCUACAGCACAAUACAGGCCCUUCGGCCCACAAAAUUGUGCCAAACAUGUCCCUACCUUAGAAAUUACUAGGUUUACUAAGCUCCAUGUACCUAUCUAAAAGCCUCUUAAAAGACCCUAUCGUAUCUGCCUCUACCACCGUUGCCGGCAACUCAUUCCGUGCAGUCACCACUCUCUGAGUAAAAAACUUACCCCUGACAUCUCCUCUGUACCUACUCCCCAGCACCUUAAACCUGUGUCCUCUUGUGGCGACCUGGUAAAAAGCCUCUGGCUAUCCACACAAUCGAUGCCUCUCAUCACCUUCUACACCUCUUAUCAGGUCACCUCUCACCCUCUGUCGCUGCAAGGAGAAAAGGCUGAGUUCACUCAACCUAUUCUCAUAAGGCAUGCUGCCCUUGUAAAUCCCAGGCAACAUCCUUGUAAAUCUCCUCUGCACCCUUUCUAUGGCUUCCAGAUCCUUCCUGUAGUGAGGCGACCAAAACUGAGCACAGUACUCCAAGUGGGGUCUGACCAGGGUCCUAUAUAGCUGCAACAUUACAGGUUAUUUGUAGCAAGAAUAUUAUGAAAAUCGGGCAACUGAAACAAGAGAUUAAUUUUACAAUCUUUCUCCUGCAUUGUUCCGAUGUUCAGACAAUAUUCCUGGCAGAGUGCUUAGAGGAUGUGCAGACCAGCUAGCAGAUGUUCUCACUGACAUCUUCAAAAUCUCCCUGAGCAGCGCCACAAUUCCAACGUGCUUUAAGGCCGCCACCAUCGUCCCCGUGCCGAAGAAGUCUUCAGUGUCCUGCCUAAAUGACUACCGUCCCGUUGCACUCACAUCCAUCAUCAUGAAGUGUUUCGAGAGGCUCGUCAUGAGGCACAUCAAGACCCUGCUGCCCCUCACUGAAUCCUUUGCAGUUUGCGUAUUGUCCCAUAAAGUUCAUCGAUGACACGACCGUGGUGGGUCUCAUCAGCAAGAACGAUGAGUCAGCAUACAGAGAGGAGGUGCAGUGGCUAACAGACUGGUGCAAAGCCAACAAUCUGUCUCUGAAUGUGACACUCCCCACUGAACAUUGACGGCUCCUCGGUAGAGAUCGUUAAGAGCACCAAAUUUCUUGGUGUUCACCUAGUGGAGAAUCUCACCUGUUCCCCAACAGCAGCUUCAUAGCAAAGAAAGCCCAGCAGCAUCUCCUCUACUAUUUGCGAAGGCUGAGGAAAGUCCAUCUCCCACCACCCCCCCUCCUCAUCACAUUCUACAGGGGUUGUAUUGAGAGCGUCCUGAGCAGCUGCAUCACUGCCUGGUUCGGAAAUUGCACCAUCUCGGAUCGCAAGGCCCUGCAACGGAUAGUGAGGUCAGCUGAGAAGAUCAUUACGGACAUUUACACUACACACUGCAUCUGCAAGGCAAACAGCAAUAUGAAGGACCCCAUGCACCCCUCAUACAAACUCUUCUUCCUCCUGCCAUCUGAGAAAAGGCACCAGAGCAUUCGGGCUCUCACAACCAGACUAUGUAACAGUUUCUUCCCCCAAGUUACCAGAUUCCCAAUACCCAGAGCCUGAUAAGGAUUGCUAGAACAGAAUUAUCUCUGGUAUAGGUUGAGACCUUGUAAAAUACACUCCAGUCAAGUCUGCUUUUGUUCAGUUUGACUGCUUUGUUGGCGUGAAAACAAACUUGUGAAACUUUUAAAAAGUGAGCACAAAAAGAAUUAGUUUAUUCAGAUUUUUUAUGUGUAUUCAUAGUUGUAGAGUAGGAUUUAAAAUGCUCCCCAGAAAUGUUUACAGUAUUCAUGUAAAAUAUAAAAUUUUAUUUAUAUUUUGACAGAGUUUAUAGACAUGUAUUUUAAUGAUUAUAAUAAAUGCAUUACAUUAUGUAUAUAAUUUUUUUUAUUUUGUAUUAUUAUAUUUAGCGAUACUUUAUAGCGUGGAAUGGGCCCUUCCGGCCCAACAAGUUGCACCAUCCAGCAACUCACCUAUUUAACACUAGCCUGAUCACAGGACAAUUUACAAUGACCGAUGAACUGGUACGUCUUUGGGAUGUGGGAGGAAACCGGAGGGAACCCACUUGGUUCUGGAGAGAAUGUACAAACUCCUUGCAGAAGGCGCUGGAAUUGAAAUCCCAACUCUGGAAAACCCUGAACUGUAAUAGCAGUCUGCUAACCACUAUACCACCAUGGUGCCCUUCAACCCCUUUAACUUCAAAUUUUAAAAUAAAUAAAAUAUUACCCAUUGCCGGUUUCUAUAUGGUGAAAUUUAAUCUACAAAGUUUGUAAAUAAGAUUGAAAGAGUACAGCAAAAAAAAUUACAAGGAUGCUGCCAGGAAUGAAAGACUUGAGUUAUAAGGAAAGAUUGAAUAGGUUAGGACUUUAUUCCUUGGGAUGUAGAAGAUUGAAAGGAGAUUUGAUAGAGGUGUACAAAGUUAUGAGGGGUAUAGUUAGGAUAAAUGCAAUUAGGCUUUUUCCACUGAGGUUGGAUGGGACUAGAAUCACAGGACAUGGGUGAAAGGUGAAAAGUUUAAGGGGAACAUAAGGGGAAAUGUCUUCACUCAGAGGGUCGUGAGUGUGUGGAAUGAGCUGCCAGCGCAAGUGGUGCAUGCAAGCUCGAUUUCAACAUUUAAGAGAAGUUUGGAUAGGUACAUGGAUGGUUGGGGUAUGGAGGGCUAUGGUCCUGGUGCAGGUUGAUGGGAGUGGAUAGUUCAAAUGGUUUGACAUGGAUUAGAUGGGCCAAAGGACCUUUUCUACGAUGCUAAGACCCCCUUCAAUUUAAAGAUUUUAUUGAACUGGGCAUGGAUGAAAUGCUUGCCUCUCAUGGGUCUGCAAAAUUCCCAUUUACAGCAUCUGGUUUACUCAUUUGUCCGGAGUUUAACGUAAGCAGGGUGUCCAGGUGGAACCAGGGAGUAGGCUAAGUACUCAGCGGAGCUGUAGUCCAGGUCAAGAACACCAAUAGUCAGGAACAUGGGUAGAUUACAGCUGCAGCUAAGGUCCAAAGUGUUUGUACGUUUCGGCUUGCUUUAUGUUUAUUAGUGUGUAACAUGUGAAAAUGAAAGAUCUAUUGGGGUGCUUAAUAACAUUUUACAUACCAUUGAGUACAUUUUUAGCAAUAUUCCAACUGUUUAAUAGAAGACACACUCAGUAGCCACUUUAUUAGGUACAGGCGUGGAACCUGGAGCGGUCUUCUGCUGCUGUAGCCCAUCCACUUCAAGAUUCAACAAGUUCUGCAUUCAGAGAUGCUCUUUGGCUCACCAUGAGAGAGUUACUGUCAUACACCUGAGAGCUUGAGCCAGUCUGGCCAUUCUCUGACUUUUAUUAGCAAGGCAAAUACCCUGGAGGCUUUUAAGAGACGUUUGGAUAGGCACAGGGAUGUGAGGAAGAUGGAGGAAUAUUGACAUGGUGUAUUUAGGAGGGAUUCGUGUUUGGGUGUUUCUGAUUUACUUUUUAGCUGGUACAGCACAACAUUGUGGGCCGAAUGGCCUGUUCCUGGGCUGUACUGUUCCAUUCUAUUCCUGAAGACAGUAAACAGAUCACAUUGGGGUUUUAUGGAAAUCUGACUGUUUUGUGGUCAUCAUAACUAGUUUCUUCAGGACAGGUCACGACACCAACCUUUCCCUCAAUGUCAACAAAAGAGCUGAUAAUUGACUUCAAAAGGGGUGGGAAUGUGAUGCCUGUGCUCCUGCCUACAUCAGUGGUGUUGAGGUUGAGAGUUUCAAGUGAACACCGCCAAUAGCCCGUGUCGGUCCACACUGAUGUCACGGGCAACAAAGCUUACCAGCGCAUCCACUUCCUCAGGAGGCUGAGGAAAUACAGCACAGUCCCAUCAACAUACCAACUUGUAUCAAUUUUUACCAGACAAAGCAUCCCGACUGGGUGCAUAAUGCAGGAGCUCUGAAUGUGACCACAAGAAACCGCGGAGCUGUUGUCACCACAGCUCAGCACAUCAGCCCUGUGCCAAUGUCUCUGUUCUGUACUUACCAUCUCACAAUAGACUAUAGGUGCAGAAGUAGACCAUUCGGCCCUUCGAGCCUGCACCGCCAUUUUGAGAUCAUGGCUGAUCAUCUACUAUCAAUACCCGGUUCCUGCCUUGUCCCCAUAUUCCUUGAUUCCCCUAUCCAUAAGAUACCUAUUUAGCUCAUAAGAUACCCAUCUCCUCGGUAAAGCAGCCAGCAUAACUAAAGCAAAUGCAAUAAGCAUAUACGUCUCUGUGCGACAGGUUGAACACACAUAGUAUAACAGUCUCUGCUUUAUUAUUUCAUAUAUUAUUGCACAAUAUUCUACAUUAGUGAACUAUUACUGUAUACAUUAUUCUGCACUUCAUUAUUAGUUAAUACUAUUAUUUUUAUUAAUGAGGUGUACAAGAUAUUAAGAGGAAUAGACAGAGAGGACAGUCAGCGCCUCUUCCCCAGGGCAACACUGCUCAGGACAAGAGGACAUGGCUUUAAGGUAAGGGGAGGGAAGUUCAAGGGGGACAUUAGAGGAAGGUUUUUCACUCAGAGAGUGGUUGGUGUGUGGAAUGCACUGCCUGAGUCAGUGGUGGAGGCAGAUACACUAGUGAAGUUUAAAAGACUACUAGACAGGUAUAUGGAGGAAUUUAAGGUGGGGGGUUAUAUGGAAGGCAGAGUUUAAGGGUCGGCACAACAUUGUGGGCCGAAAGGCCUGUACUGUGCUGUAUUGUUCUUUGUUCUUUUAAUGCUGGCUGGUGGUGUAGUGGCAUCAGCACUAGACCUCAAGGCCGGGUCCCAACCUGGGCAGCAGCAGAAAAGCCUGGCAACCUAUUUCCGUAUCUUGCCAUGAAAACCCUGUGGUCCAUGAGGUCAUGAAGAGUCGGACUCGACUUAAUGACUGAACACCAGCAAAACUAUUACUAUAUUUAUUAUUAUUGCUAAGUGAGUUUCUAAAUGUUGCUGCUGUAAUGAAAUAAUUGCCCAUUCAGGAUCAAUAAAGUAUCAUUAUUAUUAGAAAUCCUACACACCCUGACCAUGCUCCUUUCUCUUCUCUCCUAUUGGGCCAAAGAUACUAACACCUGAAAGAACCUAGCUGGAACCAGGCUCAAGGAUAGCUUCUCCCCCACUGCUGUCAAGAUACUUAAAUGGACCUCCUGUGCAACAAGGUGUACUCUUGCCUCACAAUCUACUUCAUUAUGACUUUGCACUUUACCUGCACUGCACUCUUUUGGUAGGUUUGACACUUUAUUCUGCAUUGUUAUUCUUUUACCUAAUUCUAGUUCAAUGCCCUCUGCAAUGAUUUGAUUUGUAUAAGCAGUAUGCAAAAAAAAACUUUUCACUGUACCUUGGUGCAUAUGACAAUAAUAAACCAAUACCAGUUGUAUUGCCCUCUGAGAUGUUGUAACAUAAACUAGACAGUGAGCCAAACUCCAUUCAAAAAUGACAUGAGAGUCAGGGUAUGGUCUCCUAACUCCUUGGGUUUAAUUGCAGACUCAAUGGCACAAUAAAGUGAAUAAGGAGUGAAACCGAAAAACAACAAAAUACAGCACAAAUAUAGCCAUUCACACAAGUGAACAUGCACAGAUGAGUAAGAACUUAGCUAACUUUCCUACAGGUAAGUAUUAUAGGUUUCUGACUACAGUUAAGUAGUAUGUGUAAACCAUUAGCAUCUAGGUAGGUAUCUAAUAAACUCAAAAUUAAUAUUCUAUUUCAGAAAAAUCUUACUGAUACCUUUAGAUUAACUUCUAAACAAUAUAACAUCAAGUUACAGCCGGGGAAACAACAAGGUGGUUUUAGAUAGAAACUUAUUUAGCUCCUGACAUAAACCUCUGGACUUCUGCUGGCCAAAGUGCUUUCCUACUUCCUGACUGUGCAGGAAAUGACCUAAUACAGAUCUGAAACUGCUCAUUUCAAAAUAAAAGCUGAAUGUGCUUCAUUACAUAGAAAAUAAAACAUGUCAAUUGCCUGAAGGGUAGACCACCAAUACGUUGAAAGUAGCACUGCUGUGACACAACACAGUGGACUCCGACCUAAUCUCCAGUGCUCUUUUGUGUAGCUUGCAUGUUCAUCUUGUGGACCUUACUGUUGAGCUCCAGUUUCUUUCCAUGAUCCAUAUAUACACCAGUGGCUAAAUUAGCUGCUGUAUUUUACCCCUUGUGUAGGUGAGUUUUUGGAAAAAUGGACAUAUAUUGUUGUAUUUUAGUGUUUAAAUCCAAGUUUCUUUUAGAAACCAGGAUGAGGUACAAAAUCGUUUCUUCACGAUCAUUUUAUCAACAGCUGAUAGAACAAAGAGAACAGGAAUGGGGGUCUUACUACUUGAAGAAGGGAGGAUCUAUAGUAAAGUUAGCACCUGGCAUAAAACUACUUUAUACCCCAAAGAUAAGAAAACUCCCAAUCCAAAUAGAAAAUACUAUUUCAAUACUGCCGUAGAAUUGACCAGUGAGAAAAUACUAGCCAUUUAAUGGAACAAUUAUGCUUUGUAUUGCUACUAGAAGCAUAUAGAACUAUUUGUAUAAAAUGGCUACUUAAAAUACAAGCAGAUAAUUGAUUGUAAAACUAGAAAGUAACAAUUAAAAUUAAACAGACUGAUCCAACAGUGUCAAAGAGUACUGAGGGAAUGGAGGGUCGAGGGAUGGUUAAGGUUAUUUUGGGAGGUGACAUAGAUGCAGUGUGCCAAAGCUCUCUGAGGGGAUAUUAGAAAUUUAAAAAUGUAUUUAAUAUGUUGAAUUUAUACUUGCCACCCUCUGCAGAAUUCAAAUAUUUGUCUGGAUCGAGGGCCAACCCCGAGGAAGUUAGUUCAGAAAGUUAGCCCCACCAUUUUAACUGCAUUUUACAGGAGCACCACGGGGAGCAUCCAGACAAAUUGCAUCUCUAUCUGGUAUGGGAGCAGCAGAGCAUCAGACUGGAAGUCCUUACAAAGGACUGUGACAACAGCUGAGAGGACCAUAGGGGACGUUUAUUAGGAGCAGGGCCCUUAACAACCAUCCAGCAUCCUCUUUUGAAUUUCUACCAUCAGACAGGAGACUCCAAUGCAUAAAGACAAGACUGGUCAGGAUGGGAAACAGUUUCUUCCCCCAGGCUGUUAGGCUUCUGAACUCCCUGUCGCAUCGCAUUCAAAGUAUCACUGGUUAAUUUGUUCUGUACUUUACAAUAUUUAAGAAAUGCACUUUACUUUGUUUAUUUAUGUGUAAUUCAUCUGUAAAUUUUAUCCUUACUUUCCUCAGUUAUUGUGUGUCAUAUAUGUAGUACUGUGCUUUAUACCCGGGUCUAGAGAAAUGUUGUACAUAUAUGUACGUUUGUAGUUAAAUGACAAUAAACUUGACUUCACUUCACUACUCUUCCAUAACCAAGCUCAUGGUGCCCGAGAACAGAAACUUUAUGUAGUCAAAUUAAUUGAGCCAAGAAACAUAGAAAAACUACAGUACAAUGCAGGCCCUUCGGCCCACAAUGCUGUGCCGAAUAUGUACUUACUUAGAAAUUACCUAAGGUUACCCACAGCCCCCUAUUUUUCUGAACUCCAUGUAGCCAGCCAGGAGUCUCUUAAAAGACCCUAUCAUAUCCGCCUCCACCACCAUUGCUGGCAGCCCAUUCCACACACUCACCACUCGGUAUAAAAAGAAAAUCUCCUCCGUACCUACUUCCAAGCACCUUAAAACUGUGUCCUCUUGUGACAACCAUUUCAGCCCUGGGAGAAAGCCUCUGACUAUCCACACGAUCAAUGCCUCUCACCAUCUUAUACACCUCUAUCAGGUCACCCCUCAUCCUCCGCCACUCCAAGGAGAAAACGCCGAGUUCACUCAACCUAUUCUCAUAAGGCAUGCUCCCCAAUCCAGGCAACAUCUUUGUAAAUCUCCUCUGCACCCUUUCUAUAGUUUUCACUUCCUUCCUGUAGUGAGGUGACCAGAACCGAGCACAGUACUCCAAGUGACUCACAGUGCUUCAACUGACUCUGAAGACUAGCAGUAUUCGUUUAAUGUUUAGAUGUUCUUUUCAGCCGCAGUGUAGGCUUCGUUUCCCUUUUGAGAGUUUAGUUAGCGGCCCUGUCUGGCCCAGCGUUUAUUGUUUUCUUCGAUUUUGGAAGUCCAGUGGCUCAGGGAAGGCCGAAUGCAAAACAGCAGCAAAGCUUUGCUGUGCUCUGUCCAAGUCUCGACAAGCACUACGACAACAAGAAUGGAGUUAAAUGUAAUCACAAUUAAAUAAUAAUUGCCUGACAAGUGCAAAUUCACGAACGCAAUUGCCGUAUCUACUGCACUGCCGAAUCCGUGGUUGUGACACCCGAGCUGUAAUAGUGUUGCGCUAACUGCUAUGCUAUGGUGUCACCCCAUUAAAUAAUCUUGAAACUUGCAAUGAUUAAGAAAAAAAAAAAUUGGACAAGAACUACGAUACCACCCUAAUGUCCUUCAUCCUAGGCUGAAGCGGUACCAUUCCGGGUCUGCUGAUGACACAAAGCCGACUGAUCGUGUGGGCCACCAGGAUGAUAUGGAAAAAGGUCUGUGGGCAGUGACAGACAAAAAAAAAAUGCAUUCAACCAGAUUGCUCUACUACAGCUUAAAUCGCCUGACUCAUCUGGGGUCCUGUGAUCUACAGCUUCACUCAAACUGCAGCUCUUCACGGCAGUGGGCUCUCGCUCUCGGAGCUCACCGAGAGGCCUACGUUUGGGGAACUCCAGGUGAGACUGGCAGGAGGCGCGCCAUCCGCACGACCCCUCGCCGGUGUUGCCAACUGAAACGUCGAGUAAGAUCGAAACGUCGACACAGCAGUGUAUGCGGCUGUUGAAAUAAGCGACGCUGCAGACUUAACGUCGAAACAGCGAGCUGUUGGUCCUUCUCUCUCUCUCUCUCUCUCUCUGUGGCAGGAGUGAUACUUGUCUCUCCCUCCAUAGUGAAAGAGAGAACCUGUCUGAGAUAUCAAAGUGUUGGAAUGUACAGUUUUUUGAUGGACUCUAGAUCACGGUCUUUGGGGGCUUUGCUAUUGCUUGCAUGGUGGGUGGUGGGGGGGGGGCUGAUGCAUGGGAACAGGGAGGAGUGGGCUUUGGGGUUCUAACGUUUUUCUGUUCGUCAUUCUUUGGGGUUUUCUUCUGUUUUGUGGACAUCUGUGAAGAGUAAGAAUUUCAGAUUGUAUACGUUCUCUGAUAUUAAAUUGAAUCAUUGAGCCAUUGACAGGAUCUGACCUGGACCAAACUUUUACUGCAAAAGCUGAUGGAAUGUGUGUUAAGACACCAUGCAAGUUAUACGUGAGUUUUAACGUACAUCAGCGUGUGCCAUCAGCAUGUUACAAACCCCUAGUGUUAAUUUUUUCUGCGGACUGUCACUUUAAAACGCUGAGAGGAUGAGACUGACCUUUGGACACUGUUGGAUUUCUACUGAUUACAAAAUUGCUGGGUUGCUAUGGUGAGCAGGUCUUGUUUGGACUUAAGCAAGGACACUGACUAUUGCUGUCGGCUUCUGAGUUGCCAUGGUGGAAGAGAGGUCGAGUUGCUAGUUUGACGCUCAGCCCAGCACGGAUGGAAGGCGUGUAAGGGAGCCGGCUGGAUUCGAACUCAGGACCAUUCGCACCGGAGUCCAGCGCUGAUGCCACUACACCACCAGCCAUCCAAAUUACAAAUCUCAGGUGGUGACGAGAGGGCGUACAGGAGUGAGAUAUGCCAACUAGUGGAGAGGUGUCGCAGAAACAACCUGGCACUCAGCGUCAGUAAGACUAAAGAGCUGAUGUGGACUUCAGGAAAGACUAGGCCUCAAGCCACGGUGUCACCUGUUUACAACACCAGGAGAGAGGCGUCGGAGCCAGUGCAUCCAGGCUGGAGUUGGAGCUGGCCCCCAGUGUUCACUCGGCAGAAGACAAGCUCUAUUGUGGUCAACUGUACAUCAAAACAUGCAGGGAACUGCAUUAUUUCUACUGUCAACCAACACGUCGAAGCGCAUACUGGGGGGCCGGGGAAACGAGUGUCGCCACAGAUUCCAGUGCCAAUAUAGCAAGGUCACAAUGCUUGGUGUUCGAAACCAGAACACAACAAGCAACAAAACAGCAAAACAAGCCCCAUUGCUCCUUCACACCUACACUCGUACACAGAUCUCUAAUCCCAAGACAGUCCAUAUUUUUCAGUCCAACGGACCAGAAUUCAGACUUGGGCAUGGACAUGCAGACAUUGGGCCUUCGCAGAGGUUCACAGACCUGGGAAUUCGACCAGUGGGCCUCGACUUCCAGACUUCCGAUUCAACUCCAGAGCCUUGAUCCUUAGCAGUGACCCAGGAACGCCGCCAAUCACUGCAUACCAGCCCCCAAACUCCGAUCACAAUGAUUUACAAACCCAGGAGGAUAUAGGAUGUCACAUCUCUGGCUCACUUGGUACCCAGACUCCAAAGCUUGCCGAUAACUCCUUGACAACUUAUCUACGCUAGUCUGUCGGCUGGACAUCCUGGCCCAGUUUGCAGAUGUCCCACGUUUGCGUCGCUGACGUUCGAACACAGAGCAGAGACGUAAGAUUUUAGUCCUCUAAUAUCCCCACAUCCCUGUUCCUAAAACCCAAAUCACAAGUCCUAACUCUCCUGUGUCCCCAAAACUGUCCCUACAAACCCAAAAAACUAAAACUGAGCAGUGACCUCAAUGGAGAUCGCAACUUGGCACCAUCUUUAGCCAAAUGGAACAUGAAGACUUGAAGACUAAUCAGCAAAACAGUAUAGUGUACAAUUAGUAAUGGUUAUGUGCUCUUUAUAUCUGUAAAACAUGCAAAUUCUAUCAUUUUAGUUCAAAUAAACAAGAAUUUUCCUGACCACAUUUUGAAGAUUACCACAUUAUUUACAUGAAUUAUAUAGUCAUAGAGACAUCCAACGUGGAAACAGGCCAUUUAAUGCAACUAUCGAACCAGAUGUUUGGACAAUGAUUUAAGCACCGGGCCAAACUGGAAAGGUUGGAUACAGACUGAAUCAACGUGCCUGGGUCCAGGUCCCAGAGCACUUUGCGACAACUGAACCCAAUGCUUAGACGAUGAUUUAAGCACCGGGUCAGACUGAAAAGGUUCAGGAUGUCGGGACACUAGGGGAGGGAUGGGCCUGUUCAGCCUGCUGCUCCACGACGUUCACUGAACUGAGGGUCUGUGGACGGACUCGCUUUGAUGGACUUCAGUUCUGAAUGCUAUUUGCUUGCAUUUAUUGAAAGCAUGAUUUGCUUUUUUUCCUCUACACAGUGGAUUUUUUUAAAUGGGUUCUUAUGGGUUUCUUUGCUUUAUGGCU